CGCCUCUUGCUAAACCAAAAGUAUAAGAGGUCCCGCCUGCCCUGUGACUAUAUGUUUAACGGCCGCGGUAUUUUGACCGUGCGAAGGUAGCGCAAUCACUUGUCUUUUAAAUGGGGACCUGUAUGAAUGGCAUAACGAGGGCUUGACUGUCUCCUCUUUCAAGUCAAUGAAAUUGAUCUCCCCGUGCAGAAGCGGGGAUGAGCACAUAAGACGAGAAGACCCUAUGGAGCUUCAGACACUAAAGCAGGUCAACAUUAAUACCCCAAAUACUAGGGCACGAAUAAACUGAACUCUGCCCUAAUGUCUUAGGUUGGGGCGACCGCGGAGUAAUAAAAAACCCCCGCAAGGACCGAAUGUAUAACAUUCACAACCAAGAGCGACAGCUCUAAUUAACAGAUAUUUCUGACCAAUAAGAUCCGGCAACGCCGAUCUAUGGACCAAGUUACCCUAGGGAUAACAGCGCAAUCUCCUCUUAGAGCCCGUAUCAACGAGGAGGUUUACGACCUCGAUGUUGGAUCAGGACAUCCUAAUGGUGCAGCCGCUAUUAAGGGUUCGUUUGUUCAACGAUUAAAGUCCU
This 577-nucleotide ribosomal RNA is filed under the name Epinephelus tauvina (greasy grouper). RNAcentral describes it as "partial 16S ribosomal RNA". It matches the Rfam family "Bacterial large subunit ribosomal RNA", at positions 1816 to 2597 of the family's 2925-position model. The record is from RNAcentral. Lineage: Eukaryota; Metazoa; Chordata; Actinopteri; Perciformes; Serranidae.